GACGAACGCUGGCGGCGUGCUUAACACAUGCAAGUCGAACGGUGAACGAGGGAGCUUGCUCCCUCCGGAUCAGUGGCGAACGGGUGAGUAACACGUGAGCAAUCUGCCCCGAACUCUGGGAUAAGCGUUGGAAACGACGUCUAAUACCGGAUACGACGCGGGAGGGCAUCCUCUCCGCGUGGAAAGAACUUCGGUUCGGGAUGAGCUCGCGGCCUAUCAGCUUGUUGGUGAGGUAACGGCUCACCAAGGCGACGACGGGUAGCCGGCCUGAGAGGGUGACCGGCCACACUGGGACUGAGACACGGCCCAGACUCCUACGGGAGGCAGCAGUGGGGAAUAUUGUACAAUGGGCGCAAGCCUGAUGCAGCAACGCCGCAUGAGGGACGACGGCCUUCGGGUUGUAAACCUCUUUUAGCAGGGAAGAAGCGAAAGUGACGGUACCUGCAGAAAAAGCACCGGCUAACUACGUG
This 470-nucleotide ribosomal RNA is filed under the name uncultured bacterium. Its description in RNAcentral is "partial 16S ribosomal RNA". It matches the Rfam family "Bacterial small subunit ribosomal RNA", at positions 28 to 507 of the family's 1533-position model. The record is from RNAcentral.